RNAcentral lists this ribosomal RNA (301 nucleotides) under uncultured bacterium. RNAcentral's name for it is "partial 16S ribosomal RNA". It matches the Rfam family "Bacterial small subunit ribosomal RNA", at positions 509 to 807 of the family's 1533-position model. The record is from RNAcentral.
CAGUAGCCGCGGGAAUACGAAGGGGGCUAGCGUUGCUCGGAAUGACUGGGCGUAAAGCGUGCGCGGGCGGUUAUAUAAGACAGAUGUGAAAUCCCCGGGCUCAACCUGGGACCUGCAUUUGUGACUGUAUAGCUAGAGUACGGUAGAGGGGGAUGGGAUUCCGCGUGUAGCAGUGAAAUGCGUAGAUAUGCGGAGGAACACCGAUGGCGAAGGCAAUCCCCUGGACCUGUACUGACGCUCAUGCACGAAAGCGUGGGGAGCAAACAGGAUUAGAUACCCGCGUAGUCCCUGUCUCUUAUAC